GCGUCUGUGGCGUAAUGGAUAACGCAUACCGCUUCUAACGGUGAGAUUGCGGGUUCGAGUCCCGUCAGACGUGCCA
RNAcentral lists this transfer RNA (76 nucleotides) under Dishui Lake large algae virus 1. RNAcentral's name for it is "tRNA-Arg". It matches the Rfam family "tRNA". From Rfam's summary of the family: Transfer RNA (tRNA) molecules are approximately 80 nucleotides in length. Their secondary structure includes four short double-helical elements and three loops (D, anti-codon, and T loops). The record is from RNAcentral.